CCGGCGACCGGCGGACGGGUGCGUAACGCGUAUGUAACCUACCUUUGACAGGGGGAUAACAUCGAGAAAUUGGUACUAAUACCCCAUAACAUCACCGGAGGCAUCUUCGGUGGUUGAAAACUCAGGUGGUCAGAGAUGGACAUGCGUUGUAUUAGCUAGUUGGUGAGGUAACGGCUCACCAAGGCGACGAUACAUAGGGGGACUGAGAGGUUAACCCCCCACAUUGGUACUGAGACACGGACCAAACUCCUACGGAAGGCAGCAG
This 265-nucleotide ribosomal RNA is filed under the name uncultured bacterium. RNAcentral's name for it is "partial 16S ribosomal RNA". It matches the Rfam family "Bacterial small subunit ribosomal RNA", at positions 88 to 354 of the family's 1533-position model. The record is from RNAcentral.